Molecule: transfer RNA, 72 nt
Filed under: Camelus dromedarius (Arabian camel)
Lineage: Eukaryota; Metazoa; Chordata; Mammalia; Artiodactyla; Camelidae
Also listed under: 2 other names
Rfam family: tRNA
About the family: Transfer RNA (tRNA) molecules are approximately 80 nucleotides in length. Their secondary structure includes four short double-helical elements and three loops (D, anti-codon, and T loops).
Source: Rfam by way of RNAcentral
GCAGGUAUAGCUCAGUGGUAGAGUGCAUGCCUAGCAUGCACAAGGUCCUGGGUUCAGCCCCCAGUACCUCCA